RNAcentral lists this ribosomal RNA (303 nucleotides) under uncultured bacterium. Its description in RNAcentral is "partial 16S ribosomal RNA". It matches the Rfam family "Bacterial small subunit ribosomal RNA", at positions 507 to 808 of the family's 1533-position model. The record is from RNAcentral.
AGCAGCAGCCGCGGGAAUACGUAUGUCACGAGCGUUAUCCGGAUUUAUUGGGCGUAAAGCGCGUCUAGGUGGUUAUGUAAGUCUGAUGUGAAAAUGCAGGGCUCAACUCUGUAUUGCGUUGGAAACUGUAUAACUAGAGUACUGGAGAGGUAAGCGGAACUACAAGUGUAGAGGUGAAAUUCGUAGAUAUUUGUAGGAAUGCCGAUGGGGAAGCCAGCUUACUGGACAGAUACUGACGCUGAAGCGCGAAAGCGUGGGUAGCAAACAGGAUUAGAUACCCGAGUAGUCCCUGUCUCUUAUACA